This 1466-nucleotide long non-coding RNA is filed under the name Prunus persica (peach). Its description in RNAcentral is "long non-coding RNA (PPER_LNC005726)". The record is from RNAcentral. Lineage: Eukaryota; Viridiplantae; Streptophyta; Magnoliopsida; Rosales; Rosaceae.
GGUAUUAGCAAUCCCAUCUAAGACUAGAAUUAAAUGAAACAAACAUGGUACUAAAUUUAGUCCAAGCCAAUCCAAGUCAAGUCUGUGUACCAAACGACCCCUGAAAGAAUGAAUACACAAACAACUGCAUACACUCACAUGAGAUUUACACAAACACAUACAUGCAUGAGAGAGAGAGAGAGAGAGAGAGAGAGAGAGAGAGAGAGAGAGAGAGAGAGAGAGAGGAGGAGGAGGAGGGGGGCGCCAGGGGUUGUGUUGAAACCACAAGAACCGCCCAGUAGCGUCUACUGUAAUUUUCAAUCUAUAUCACAAAUUUAAACUCGUCAUUUUGAAUAUGUGCUGUUUGCUCAUACAAGAUAUUAAAGUGCCAGAUUUUAUAUAUUUUUUUCAGAUAUCAAAAAUACCCUCACUUACAGUGUCAGUGGUAUUUAAAUUGGGUCUCCAUUUAUUGUGUUGAAUUUAUUUUCAACAUAUUUUAUGCAAUUUAAUUGUCAUUAAUGUGUAUCUGUCUCAUUAAAAAAAUUUUAAUUUCAAAUGGUGAUUAGCAUAAAUUUAUGGAUUUGUACAGUAAUUUUUUCAUGCUCUUAAAAAGAAAAAAGAAAAAGAAAAACAGUCAGCAAAAAUCACAAAAUAACUAUUUUUGGUCCAAAUAGAAAUUCAUUAAACAAGAACAAUACAAAGGAAAGGACCAAAUUAAUGGCCAAUUAACUAAACUAGACAAUAAAUAAAAGCCGGAUGCCCCUUACUCCUAUUAACUAAACUAGACAAUAAAUAAAAGCCGGAUGCCCCUAACUCCUUCCUUCUUCCUUCUUCCUUGAAAAUACAUACCUAGCGUUCCUUGUACACCUCGUAUAUAUUCCAGACAAAACAUGGAAUACCGAACAAGCAGCAAACAAAUUUAUCCCAGAAGGCCUUUACAUGCUUCAUCAUAAAUAUUUUAAUUGGUUCCCAACAUGGUUGUGCCUUUAUCCUCAACAACAAUAAUAGUAGGAGAAGAGAACUGAAGGCCCCGCACGUCGGCUUCCAAAAAUUUAAUGGAAUUUUCGCUCGUAAUAUUAUCCAAUAAAUUGCCCAAACAAAGAAUAGAAUUCCCCACAAUAUCCCAUUGUAGGGAAACCUACGGCACAUCAAUAGUAGUAACCACCACACCAACGUUAUGGCAAUAUUAAGAAACAGGGAAACAAUGACAAAGAAGGGACAGCAGGGGCAAUCAUGAGGCUUACACUGAGAAUCUCGGGAAACAACAUUGUCAAACUCUGGUUUUGCGUAUGAGGCCGGGUUAAUUCCUAUAACAAACAAGACAGUUGCUAAGCCCACUAACACAGCGAGUGUUAGCGGCAAUCUUUUCUCUUCUUUUUCGGCUUUCUCUGCUUUCUCUUUCUCUUCUUUGGCUUUCUCUUCAGCUCUGCCUUGGGCACUAGGUGAUAAUGUCGGCUUUGUCUGUGAGGGGAUAGUAAUGGCGUGGG